The submitters of this non-coding RNA (141 nucleotides) gave its source as unclassified sequences. The record is from Rfam.
ACAUGAAUUAAGAGGCAACUCUUAACUGACCAGCUAGGGAAAAACCGAGAGGUUCAAGCCUAGAGGGCAGAAAGCUCCGCAGAGUAGCGCUAAAAUUGUGGAGUGAAAGGCAUGGCGGUAGCGCAUACAACGACGUGCCAA